Molecule: ribosomal RNA, 453 nt
Filed under: uncultured Prevotellaceae bacterium
Lineage: Bacteria; Pseudomonadati; Bacteroidota; Bacteroidia; Bacteroidales; Prevotellaceae
Description: partial 16S ribosomal RNA
Rfam family: Bacterial small subunit ribosomal RNA
Source: RNAcentral
ACGGAAGGCAGCAGUGAGGAAUAUUGGUCAAUGGGCGAGAGCCUGAACCAGCCAAGUAGCGUGCAGGAUGACGGCCCUAUGGGUUGUAAACUGCUUUUAUGUGGGAAUAAAGUGACGUACGUGUACGUUUUUGCAUGUACCACAUGAAUAAGGACCGGCUAAUUCCGUGCCAGCAGCCGCGGUAAUACGGAAGAUCCGAGCGUUAUCCGGAUUUAUUGGGUUUAAAGGGAGCGUAGGCGGGCCUUUAAGUCAGUGGUCAAAGCGUGUGGCUCAACCAUACCACGCCGUUGAUACUGGAGGCCUUGAGUGCACAUAAGGAUGGUGGAAUUCAUGGUGUAGCGGUGAAAUGCUUAGAUAUCAUGAAGAACUCCGAUUGCGAAGGCAGCUGUCCGGGGUGUAACUGACGCUAAUGCUCGAAAGUGCGGGUAUCAAACAGGAUUAGAUACCCUGGUA